AACCGGCUGAUGACAUCAUGACAUCCAUCAGAAUAUGGCAGGCGCAGAACACAUGAUGCAUGUGCCAAUGAAAAACAAGCAUUAAGUUGAUGGGGAGGAAUAACCAUGAAGAGCCUGAGAAAAGGUUGUUCGAAUGGCAUUCACUAAGGACGCGAGACACCUUAUCGACCCUGGGGACAACCAUGGAGAGCCAGCGAUGGUGGACAUUACUUCUAUUGUUA
This is a long non-coding RNA of Spea bombifrons (plains spadefoot toad), 221 nucleotides long. RefSeq lists it as uncharacterized. NCBI's taxonomy places the organism in Eukaryota, Metazoa, Chordata, Amphibia, Anura, Pelobatidae. The record is from RefSeq and is a predicted model, not a curated record. The transcript has 3 exons.